UGUAGUCAUAUGCUUGUCUCAAAGAUUAAGCCAUGCAUGUCUAAGUAUAAGCAAUUAUACCGCGAAACUGCGAAUGGCUCAUUAAAUCAGUUAUCGUUUAUUUGAUAGUACCUUACUACAUGGAUAACCGUGGUAAUUCUAGAGCUAAUACAUGCUAAAAAUCCCGACUUCGGAAGGGAUGUAUUUAUUAGAUUAAAAACCAAUGCCCUUCGGGGCUCUCUGGUGAUUCAUAAUAACUUCUCGAAUCGCACGGCCUUGCGCCGGCGAUGGUUCAUUCAAAUUUCUGCCCUAUCAACUUUCGACGGCUGGGUCUUGGCCAGCCGUGGUGACAACGGGUAACGGAGGGUUAGGGCUCGACCCCGGAGAAGGAGCCUGAGAAACGGCUACUACAUCCAAGGAAGGCAGCAGGCGCGCAAAUUACCCAAUCCCGACACGGGGAGGUAGUGACAAUAAAUACUGAUACAGGGCUCUUUCGGGUCUUGUAAUUGGAAUGAGUACAAUUUAAAUCCCUUAACGAGGAACAAUUGGAGGGCAAGUCUGGUAAUCG
RNAcentral lists this ribosomal RNA (547 nucleotides) under uncultured eukaryote. RNAcentral's name for it is "SSU rRNA". It matches the Rfam family "Eukaryotic small subunit ribosomal RNA", at positions 21 to 570 of the family's 1831-position model. The record is from RNAcentral.